Molecule: ribosomal RNA, 260 nt
Filed under: uncultured prokaryote
Description: partial 16S ribosomal RNA
Rfam family: Bacterial small subunit ribosomal RNA
Source: RNAcentral
UACGUAGGGUGCGAGCGUUGUCCGGAAUUACUGGGCGUAAAGAGCUCGUAGGUGGUUUGUCGCGUCGUCUGUGGAAUUCCGGGGCUUAACUUCGGGCGUGCAGGCGAUACGGGCAAUACUUGAGUGCUGUAGGGGAGACUGGAAUUCCUGGUGUAGCGGUGGAAUGCGCAGAUAUCAGGAGGAACACCGAUGGCGAAGGCAGGUCUCUGGGCAGUAACUGACGCUGAGGAGCGAAAGCAUGGGUAGCGAACAGGAUUAGA